This 1403-nucleotide ribosomal RNA is filed under the name Microbacterium sp. CO121. Its description in RNAcentral is "16S ribosomal RNA". It matches the Rfam family "Bacterial small subunit ribosomal RNA". Lineage: Bacteria; Bacillati; Actinomycetota; Actinomycetes; Micrococcales; Microbacteriaceae. The record is from RNAcentral.
CGUGCUUAACACAUGCAAGUCGAACGGUGAAGCCAAGCUUGCUUGGUGGAUCAGUGGCGAACGGGUGAGUAACACGUGAGCAACCUGCCCUGAACUCUGGGAUAAGCGCUGGAAACGGCGUCUAAUACUGGAUAUGAGCUGCGGAGGCAUCUUCGUGGUUGGAAAGAUUUUUCGGUUUGGGAUGGGCUCGCGGCCUAUCAGCUUGUUGGUGAGGUAAUGGCUCACCAAGGCGUCGACGGGUAGCCGGCCUGAGAGGGUGACCGGCCACACUGGGACUGAGACACGGCCCAGACUCCUACGGGAGGCAGCAGUGGGGAAUAUUGCACAAUGGGCGGAAGCCUGAUGCAGCAACGCCGCGUGAGGGAUGACGGCCUUCGGGUUGUAAACCUCUUUUAGCAGGGAAGAAGCGAAAGUGACGGUACCUGCAGAAAAAGCGCCGGCUAACUACGUGCCAGCAGCCGCGGUAAUACGUAGGGCGCAAGCGUUAUCCGGAAUUAUUGGGCGUAAAGAGCUCGUAGGCGGUUUGUCGCGUCUGCUGUGAAAACCCGAGGCUCAACCUCGGGCCUGCAGUGGGUACGGGCAGACUAGAGUGCGGUAGGGGAGAUUGGAAUUCCUGGUGUAGCGGUGGAAUGCGCAGAUAUCAGGAGGAACACCGAUGGCGAAGCAGAUCUCUGGGCCGUAACUGACGCUGAGGAGCGAAAGGUUGGGGAGCAAACAGGCUUAGAUACCCUGGUAGUCCACCCCGUAAACGUUGGAACUAGUUGUGGGGUCCAUUCCACGGAUUCCGUGACGCAGCUAACGCAUUAAGUUCCCCGCCUGGGGAGUACGGCCGCAAGGCUAAAACUCAAAGGAAUUGACGGGGACCCGCACAAGCGGCGGAGCAUGCGGAUUAAUUCGAUGCAACGCGAAGAACCUUACCAAGGCUUGACAUACACGAGAACGCUGCAGAAAUGUAGAACUCUUUGGACACUCGUGAACAGGUGGUGCAUGGUUGUCGUCAGCUCGUGUCGUGAGAUGUUGGGUUAAGUCCCGCAACGAGCGCAACCCUCGUUCUAUGUUGCCAGCACGUAAUGGUGGGAACUCAUGGGAUACUGCCGGGGUCAACUCGGAGGAAGGUGGGGAUGACGUCAAAUCAUCAUGCCCCUUAUGUCUUGGGCUUCACGCAUGCUACAAUGGCCGGUACAAAGGGCUGCAAUACCGCGAGGUGGAGCGAAUCCCAAAAAGCCGGUCCCAGUUCGGAUUGAGGUCUGCAACUCGACCUCAUGAAGUCGGAGUCGCUAGUAAUCGCAGAUCAGCAACGCUGCGGUGAAUACGUUCCCGGGUCUUGUACACACCGCCCGUCAAGUCAUGAAAGUCGGUAACACCUGAAGCCGGUGGCCCAACCCUUGUGGAGGGAGCCGUCG